AUGGCCAGAACACAAGGGAAAAAAGAAGAAGAAAGAAAAGCUCUUUGGCCCCAGAAAUUCCAUGUCCAUUACUUUCUUGCACGCCCUGUUCCACCUGUCCGAUUGAUGGCUCAGUUCACUUUGAUAAGCCGCGUCACUUGUGACCGAAAAUGUCGUCAAGAAAAAGGCGAAGGAGCAGGUGAAGGAAAAGGGAAGGCCAGGAGGAAAACAGCACCAGGAAAGGGGAAAACGCACACGAACCGGGCACAUUAUUUGCAAUGUAUGAAGUGUGGUGGUGCUAGAUGGAGGAUAUGGAACAACAAGUUGGCAUGGAGUACUUUCUCCCUCCGGAAUUACUCGACGCUCAAACGGACGUAUCCAGUAGAUAACAUUCCGGAGGGAGUACUUGGCAGCAAUUUCAUGUCCUGCACAAAGAUAAUAUAUAUUCCAGUAUACUACUAG
RNAcentral lists this ribosomal RNA (441 nucleotides) under Triticum aestivum (bread wheat). RNAcentral's name for it is "partial small subunit ribosomal RNA". The record is from RNAcentral. Lineage: Eukaryota; Viridiplantae; Streptophyta; Magnoliopsida; Poales; Poaceae.